Molecule: non-coding RNA, 45 nt
Organism: Schistosoma curassoni
Lineage: Eukaryota; Metazoa; Platyhelminthes; Trematoda; Strigeidida; Schistosomatidae
Source: Rfam
GUCCAGCUGACGAGUCCCAAACAGGACGAAGCGCGCAUCCUGGAU